This 253-nucleotide ribosomal RNA is filed under the name uncultured bacterium. RNAcentral describes it as "partial 16S ribosomal RNA". It matches the Rfam family "Bacterial small subunit ribosomal RNA", at positions 524 to 776 of the family's 1533-position model. The record is from RNAcentral.
UACGGAGGGGGCUAGCGUUGUUCGGAAUUACUGGGCGUAAAGCGCACGUAGGCGGACCAUCAAGUUGGGGGUGAAAUCCCGGGGCUCAACCCCGGAACUGCCUCCAAAACUGCUGGUCUGGAGGUCGAGAGAGGUGAGUGGAAUUCCGAGUGUAGAGGUGAAAUUCGUAGAUAUUCGGAGGAACACCAGUGGCGAAGGCGGCUCACUGGCUCGAUACUGACGCUGAGGCGCGAAAGCGUGGGGAGCAAACAGG